Molecule: long non-coding RNA, 1244 nt
Filed under: Homo sapiens (human)
Lineage: Eukaryota; Metazoa; Chordata; Mammalia; Primates; Hominidae
Description: HSALNT0354730
Source: RNAcentral
AAAACAAGCCCUCCUUUCUCUGCUCUUUUCUACCCAACCGUUAAUACUGCUACCAGGUCUGUUUCAAGCUUUUGCGUAUAUAAGGGUACAUACAUAAAGAUAUAACUUUGGUGUGUGUUUUCUCUUUUACAUAAGUACGAUCAAAUUGUCCAUAUUGUUUUGCAUAUCCUGAUCUUAUUCAUUCUUUUUAUGUAUGUGUCCAGUCUACCUCAUGCCCUGACUCACAGUUUAGCUAUGACUAAGCAUGUUCAGAACAUUUGUUGAGCUCUUAAGAAGGGUGGUCAUGGAGUAUAGGUCUGCUAUGAAUUGUCUGGCAGUCAUUUAAUAUUGUAUUAUAUUUUAGGUCUGUCAACCUGAAAUAAACAGCAGAGAGACCAGUUCUCCAAAACAAAGAGUUUAUUUGAGAAUAACAGGGAAUUGCGAUUUUGGGUGCACAUGCUGUGGUGGACCACAGGUGCACCAAAGGGGAUGGGGCAAGAGGAAGCUUUUAAGAGAAAGGACGUGAGCCACUGCACCCGGCCCACACUGCCUUUUCUUGAGUGUGUACUUUUUGUCUUGCAAUAACUCUCCAAACUUUCACUAUUUUCUGAUUUGUCAUUGAAUUCCUUCCCGCAGUGGCGUCAAAAGCCUGGACACCAGCCGGGGCCGAGGUCCUGCAGGUAUUUGGGGAACUCCCCUAGCCCACUGAUAUCUGCAUCAUUAGUAUUCUUACUAUUCUCACCUCUCAGAGAUCACAGUAGGUGAAGCUCUUCCCAUACUUUCUGUCACUGUGUACCCCAGAAGCCGAGGGGGUAGGUUCUGUUAACACAUCCAUUUUGCAGGUGAAGAAUCAGAGGCUCAGACAGGUUGAGGAACUUUGCCACGGUCACUCAGCCAAUGGGUGGGAGAGCAAGGUCCCGUCCAAAGCAUUUUCCAAGGUUUGGCUAGAAUCAGUGGUGGAACCACAGCUAAUUUCAGCUGUUUCACACAAACACAUUAGGUAACUAAACCACCUAGUGAGAUAGUUAUUCUAUUUUCAAUUAUUUUCCCUUCCUUUUGAUUAAAUCAAGGAAAUUUUCCAGUUGUUUCUAAUAUGCCAGUAAAAGUUCUCUAAUGCAAUUCCAAUCUCCCUUUCUAACAAAGACAGAACAGGCAACCGUAUCUAGCCAGAACUUAAUCGCGUUGUUUUGUUUUCCUUGUAUUUAUUUUUAUGGAAAUGAAGUUGAUUUUCUAUUGAUGUAGCAAUAGAAAUUUUCUUUAAAAAU